RNAcentral lists this ribosomal RNA (182 nucleotides) under uncultured bacterium. Its description in RNAcentral is "partial 16S ribosomal RNA". It matches the Rfam family "Bacterial small subunit ribosomal RNA", at positions 1319 to 1500 of the family's 1533-position model. The record is from RNAcentral.
CAUGAAGCCGGAAUUGCUAGUAAUGGCAGGUCAGCAUACUGCCGUGAAUACGUUCCCGGGCCUUGUACACACCGCCCGUCACACCAUGAGAGUUGGGAAUACCCGAAGCCUGUGAGCUAACGUUAAGAGGCAGCAGUCGAAGGUAGAAUCAAUGGAUUGGGGUGAAGUCGUAACAAGGUAAC